RNAcentral lists this ribosomal RNA (433 nucleotides) under uncultured bacterium. RNAcentral's name for it is "partial 16S ribosomal RNA". It matches the Rfam family "Bacterial small subunit ribosomal RNA", at positions 29 to 507 of the family's 1533-position model. The record is from RNAcentral.
AACGAACGCUGGCGGCAUGCCUAACACAUGCAAGUCGAACGAGACCUUCGGGUCUAGUGGCGCACGGGUGCGUAACGCGUGGGAACCUGCCCUUAGGUUCGGAAUAACUCCCCGAAAGGGGUGCUAAUACCGGAUAAUGUCUUCGGACCAAAGAUUUAUCGCCUUUGGAUGGGCCCGCGUUGGAUUAGCUAGUUGGUAGGGUAAAAGCCUACCAAGGCGACGAUCCAUAGCUGGUCUGAGAGGAUGAUCAGCCACACUGGGACUGAGACACGGACCAGACUACUACGGGAGGCAGCAGUGGGGAAUAUUGGAAAAUGGGAGAAAGCCUGAUCCAGCAAUGACGCGUGAGUGAUGAAGGCCUUAGGGUUGUAAAGCUCUUUUACCCGGGAUGAUAAUGACAGUACCGGGAGAAUAAGCUCCGGCUAACUCCGUG